UUAAAUCUUCUCUUAGAUCACGAACCAAAACCCUAGACAAAGGUCUCGAUCAAUCCUCGCCGGAUCUCGCCUGCAAGGGUUUCCUACGCCGUCCCAAUGGCAUCCCUCAAGAAGCGAAAAGCCGAACAAGACUCCGAUCGCUUCUUUCCCAAUCAAGGCACUGAUACGAAGCCUCAUCAUUCAGCCGUCGAGUAUAUCCGCCAGCCUGACGACGAGACCGGUGCACCCGGUGGCGCCGGCGCCGGCGCCGGCGAUAGCGCUUCGGACUCGGAGGACGACUACGAUGAGGAGGAAGAAGACGUCCGCAAGCUUCUUGACCCCCUCUCUAACGAUCAGCUUUCCUCACUUCUCGUUUCAGCGGCAGCUCGAGAUUCCGCCACACUCGCCGAGAUUCGCGCCCUAGCCGACGUCGAUCCUUCUCAUCGCAAGCUCUUCGUACACGGCCUCGACUGGAACACGACAUCUGACGGUCUCCGCGCCGCGUUUUCUCGCUAUGGAGAAAUCGUUGAGAGCCGCGUCGUUUUCGACCGACCAACCGGCCGAUCAAAGGGAUACGGUUUCAUCCUAUUUCGCCACCGCUCCUCUGCUCGUCGUGCCCUCUGCAAACCCCAAAAGCUCAUCGACAACCGAAUGGCAUCGUGCCAGCUAGCAAGCAAUGGCCCCACCCCGAACCCUAACCCUAACUAUCUCCAUAAUUCUAACCCCAACCAUAACCAUGGCGAUAACCUUGCACGCAAGAUCUACGUUGGCAACGUGCACUCCGAUAUCGACGGUCGCCGCCUCCACGCGUUCUUCUCUCAGUAUGGAGAGAUCGAGGAAGGGCCGCUUGGGUUCGAUCGCCACACAGGUAAGUCUAAGGGCUUUGCAAUUUUCUUGUACAAAACUUCUGAGGGAGCAAGAAAGGCUUUGGAAGAGACUAAUAAGAACUUUGAGGGACAUCACCUUGUCUGUCAGAAGGCUACUGAUAGCAACAAGGCAAAGACAUCAGCACCGGUUAGUAACAACGCUGAUGGCUCAGCUGCUACUGUGCCAAAUGUUCCAGCGAGCUAUGUUGGUUACAAUGGGUCUGCUUACGGCGGGCAAGUUGCCCAAUCAGACAUCGGGCUGGCACAGCAGGCAGUAAUGCUAGGACAGGGGCUGCUUGGGCAAACUAUGCCUGCAAAUGCUGCUGUCCUUGCUAUGUUGGCAGCCACAGGCCAGAACCCAGCUGGUUUUGGCGUCACUCCGGCAAUGCUUGCUUCUUUAAACCCUGCUCUUGCUAUGGCAUUGGCUGCAGGGGCAACUCCAGCUGCACUUCCGCAGGCAGCAGCAGCAGUGACACAGCAACAAGGGGCUGUCCCAAUGCAGGGAUAUGCAAUGGGAAGCUCUGGGUAUCAGAAUAUUGGGUUUCAAGGUCCUCCUGGAUUCCAAGGGCCGCCAGGAUUCCAAAGUGCAUCAGGUUUUCAGGGGAGUAUACCCCAAGUGGGCACACAUCAGGGCGGAAAUACGGGUAAUGCAGCAGCGCAAAGAUCUUCAAUGGGCUCUAUGGGUGGUUAUGGUCUUCAUUAGGAACUUCUUGAAUUUUUAUUCUCUUUAAUGUGAAGACCCGAGUGAUGGGUGGCUUGAACAAGUUGAAUUGAGCUGGAUCUCAAGUGGAGGGAUUGGAUGAAGUUUAGCUGUUGAGCAUUCUUUGUGCCAAGAAUCUAAAAUAUUUCAUUGGGUUUACAGAUUAAAGACCUAUCCAUCAAUUAACAGGGAGGUACCUGAUAUACUUGAUCCAGUUACAAAUUAAAGACUAACUAGAAAGUUGCUUUAAGAAGUAGUAAAAAAGUCGUCACAAACAAAAUCUAAGGUUCACGUGAAUGAGGACAACCCGGUAAGCUCGAUUCAGUUACAUGGGCUACCAUAAGUUUGUUUCUUUGUCAGCUUCCUCUUUACUUAAGAUUUAUAAAAAAAAUGUAAAUAUAAAUGGAAAUUCAGUUUACAAAUUACUUUAUACGCCUACACAUCAUCUAAUGGUUGACACUCAAUUUUCAUGUGAAGAUCAUGCUAGAACUUGUCAAUAUAUAGGUGUAUAUAGAUCAAUACAUUGUUGCAUUACAAAUUUGAAUUUUUAUCAUAUUGGAUACCAAUAAACCAAUGAGAUGAUAUCAGUACUAUUGUCAUCUAUGAAUAUCAUGAAAGGCAAGUUUGAUGAAGACAGAUGGAAGGAUUAUAUAUUAAUGAAGCAGCUGCCGGAGCAAUUGCAAAGGGAAACCUUAUUCUGCGGCUUGGAGAAAGGAGAUUUUGCUCGAGAGCUUUUGGAAUGUCUUGAUUGUUGAAGCUCUUUAGGAAAGGGAGCUGGCAGAAUUUUUAUUCCGUGCAGAGUUCGGACGCCAUCCAGAGACCAACAACAGUGUGCCACAUCACAGUGCAGUAUCAAGCGUUACCGGACAGUUCUCCCGUCUGUCCGGUGUCCGCACAGAAUAAUCUCUCGAGUGAGGCACAGAUUGGGCCACGAAUGCUGCAUACUAAUCAUUAAGCUAGGUGCUGUUUCAUGUGGAGGAAAAUAGGUUUGAUGAUAUUUGAAGACGCUUUUACAUGUUGUCUUUUGGUGUACAAUUUCAAAAUGAUAUAUCUAUUAAAUUUAAGGAUUGAUUAAUAUUGUACAGUUGCUAUCAACCUGACUCACUCCUUGAAUAAAUUCCUACAAGGUUUAAUCGCCAA
Molecule: RNA transcript, 2685 nt
Organism: Dendrobium catenatum
Lineage: Eukaryota; Viridiplantae; Streptophyta; Magnoliopsida; Asparagales; Orchidaceae
Gene name: UBP1-associated protein 2B
Exons: 5
Source: RefSeq, a predicted model, not a curated record